This 72-nucleotide transfer RNA is filed under the name Patescibacteria group bacterium. Its description in RNAcentral is "tRNA-Gly". It matches the Rfam family "tRNA". From Rfam's summary of the family: Transfer RNA (tRNA) molecules are approximately 80 nucleotides in length. Their secondary structure includes four short double-helical elements and three loops (D, anti-codon, and T loops). The record is from RNAcentral.
GCGGGUGUAGCACAGUGGUUAGUGCGUCUGCCUUCCAAGCAGAUUACGGCGGUUCGACUCCGCUCACCCGCU